RNAcentral lists this ribosomal RNA (465 nucleotides) under Vreelandella stevensii. RNAcentral's name for it is "partial 16S ribosomal RNA". It matches the Rfam family "Bacterial small subunit ribosomal RNA", at positions 338 to 795 of the family's 1533-position model. Lineage: Bacteria; Pseudomonadati; Pseudomonadota; Gammaproteobacteria; Oceanospirillales; Halomonadaceae. The record is from RNAcentral.
CCUACGGGAGGCUGCAGUGGGGAAUAUUGGACAAUGGGGGGAACCCUGAUCCAGCCAUGCCGCGUGUGUGAAGAAGGCCCUCGGGUUGUAAAGCACUUUCAGUGAGGAAGAACGCCUGGUGGUUAAUACCCAUCAGGAAAGACAUCACUCACAGAAGAAGCACCGGCUAACUCCGUGCCAGCAGCCGCGGUAAUACGGAGGGUGCGAGCGUUAAUCGGAAUUACUGGGCGUAAAGCGCGCGUAGGUGGCUUGAUAAGCCGGUUGUGAAAGCCCCGGGCUCAACCUGGGAACGGCAUCCGGAACUGUCAAGCUAGAGUGCAGGAGAGGAAGGUAGAAUUCCCGGUGUAGCGGUGAAAUGCGUAGAGAUUGGGAGGAAUACCAGUGGCGAAGGCGGCCUUCUGGACUGACACUGACACUGAGGUGCGAAAGCGUGGGUAGCAAACAGGAUUAGAUACCCCUGUAGUC